This 497-nucleotide ribosomal RNA is filed under the name uncultured bacterium. RNAcentral describes it as "partial 16S ribosomal RNA". It matches the Rfam family "Bacterial small subunit ribosomal RNA", at positions 28 to 507 of the family's 1533-position model. The record is from RNAcentral.
GAUGAACGCUGGCGGCGUGCCUAAUACAUGCAAGUCGAGCGAACAGACGAGGAGCUUGCUCCUCUGACGUUAGCGGCGGACGGGUGAGUAACACGUGGAUAACCUACCUAUAAGACUGGGAUAACUUCGGGAAACCGGAGCUAAUAUCGGAUAACAUGUUGAACCGCAUGGUUCAACAGUGAAAGACGGUCUUGCUGUCACUUAUAGAUGGAUCCGCGCCGCAUUAGCUAGUUGGUAAGGUAACGGCUUACCAAGGCAACGAUGCGUAGCCGACCUGAGAGGGUGAUCGGCCACACUGGAACUGAGACACGGUCCAGACUCCUACGGGAGGCAGCAGUAGGGAAUCUUCCGCAAUGGGCGAAAGCCUGACGGAGCAACGCCGCGUGAGUGAAGAAGGUCUUCGGAUCGUAAAACUCUGUUAUUAGGGAAGAACAAAUGUGUAAGUAACUAUGCACGUCUUGACGGUACCUAAUCAGAAAGCCACGGCUAACUACGUG